Molecule: ribosomal RNA, 426 nt
Filed under: uncultured organism
Description: SSU rRNA
Rfam family: Eukaryotic small subunit ribosomal RNA
Source: RNAcentral
GGAAGGCAGCAGGCGCGCAAAUUACCCAAUCCCGACACGGGGAGGUAGUGACAAUAUGUAACAAUAUACGGCUUUAUUGUCGUAUAAUUGGAAUGAGUACAAUUUAAAUCCCUUAACGAGGAACAAUUGGAGGGCAAGUCUGGUGCCAGCAGCCGCGGUAAUUCCAGCUCCAAUAGCGUAUAUUAAAGUUGUUGCAGUUAAAAAGCUCGUAGUUGGACCUUGGUCCUGGACAGGCGGUCCGCCUCACGGCGUGUACUGUCUUGCUGGGCCUUUCCUCUUGGUGAUCUGUGGUUUCGGCCGCAGGGAACCAGCACCUUUACUUUGAAAAAAUUAGAGUGUUCACAGCAGGCUUUACGCCAGAAUAUAUUAGCAUGGAAUAAUAAAAUAGGACGUGCGGUUCUAUUUUGUUGGUUUUUGGGAUCGCCG